Long non-coding RNA from Syngnathoides biaculeatus (alligator pipefish), 3008 nucleotides. RefSeq lists it as uncharacterized. The transcript has 5 exons. The record is from RefSeq and is a predicted model, not a curated record. NCBI's taxonomy places the organism in Eukaryota, Metazoa, Chordata, Actinopteri, Syngnathiformes, Syngnathidae.
GUCGUCCUUGAUGCCUCGUUCCCGCACUCCUGUUUGCCUGAGUUCUGCUCUGCGUGUACCGACCCACGCCUCUCCUCUGACCACCCUCGUUUUUGGUCAACCAUAUCAAAUUCUGACAAGGCAAACUCAUUGUGUUUAUCGGCUGUUACAAGUUCUGGAGCUAUUUGAUUUGAGGGGGGUGUGAGCUUGUCAACCACAGCAAACAGAGUGUGGAUUCUAUUUAUCAUCAUCAGUCAACAUUGGAUCAUUCAGAGAUCCUCACUGAACUUCUGGUGAUUGGCUGGCAACCAGUUUGAGGUGUAUGCACCUCUCGCCCAGAGUCACUUGAGAUAGCUUUCAGCUUGCCCAUAACUCCAGAGAGGACAAGCGGUGCAGAAAACGGAUGGAUGGAAAAUAAAAACAGGACAACAUCUUUGGAAAACAACUGGAGGAGAAGCAAGAGUAUUUCCAAACUCAAUACGAACUUGGGCCUAUGACAAGAAUUCUGAGUCAAACACUAUGACUUUAGUUCACCAAAAAUAAACCAAGAAAUUUGUGUAAGGGAAAAUAAAUCAUAAAACGGUAACAACAACCAACUGAAGGGUAAGUUUAACAGAAGAACACAAAAGUCACACAGCAGCAUUUAAACAUUUCAAAACGUUCCGAAUCCCAAUAAAGCUUUGUCUCUCUUCCACAACAGAGUGGAACAGCAGAGCAAAAUGUAAUUUCAUAGAGACCAAAGUGAUAAUAAAUAUUCAAAUCAUACAGAAAGCAUUAUUAAUGCAACAUUUUAUCUUUUUAAAAUACAAUCAAUACCCUCCAUAGAAGAAAAUCCUAUUAGUUAAUGCAGCACAUUGUUUAGGCAAGAUCUAACUAACAGGAUGACAGUAAAGUGACAAUGCAAUGUUAUUGUUCCAGAGUGUGUAAAAAGGUCCAAUGUACAUUCGCUUCAGUGACAGUACAGAUAUUCUUUUCUCAAGUGGGAGUCAUUUAUGAUGUUGAUGCAAGGCAAUUGUUGUCAGAGCUUUGAUGUAUUCAUUGAAGAAAUUGUUCCAAAAACUUGCAGUGCAGAUGUUGGUUUUGCAAAGGCUGGUGUCUGAUUGGGGGCAAGGCGAGUAUGUAUGGGAUGGGGGGGGCUGUUUACAAUACGGUAGGCAUGUAUUGAUGUCCUGGAUUGGAGCUUGGGGGACUUCAAUUAUUCUUUUCAGCUGUUUACACUAUGCAAUGUAUGGAUUUGAAGCUGGUGGACAGGACUUUCUACAGCUCCUGUCCAGAGACGGUGCUGAUGAUAGUCGGGGGUGGUGGGUAGUGGGGGACCGGCUCUCUUCUUUCUCUGAAGGAAAAGAAGGCCCUUUUUCAGGAUAUGAACACCAAGAAAAUCUUUUAAAAGGAAGCCUUCAAAGCUCCAAUUUUUAUCAGUGGAAGUCCAUGCACCUGACACCUUUAUAAAGUGUUUCUUUUCUGCUGAAAAUAUAUAUAUUUUUUUACCUCUCAAAUCUGCAAGGUCAUUUUGUAGUAAACCAAAGCCUUAGUGAGUUACUAUUUAUAAUUCUCGCUGUAAUGGGCACAAGUUUGGGAAAAAAGAUUGCUUCCCUUUCAAUUGUUUGGUUAUUGACGUUUUCUUUUUCAUUUUUGCGCUUUUAAUUUCAAUAUUCCGUGUCAGAGUAAAAAAAAUGAAAAUGUUGUCAGUUCAACCAUGUAAGUUAUCAUUAUGUGUCUGUCAACAUCAUAUUGAUUUAAAAUACUCCUGAUGCAGAUGAUGGAUACUGCCCAGGCCAGACCACCAAGCAAAAACUGUUGGCUUGGGAGGAGUCAAGUUAUUUGAAACUUUUGAAUAGCCUUGAAGAGUUUUGAUCAACUUUUUCACACCUCAAAAGAGGCAAGGAGUGCACCGUCCACACAAUAUAUAUUGUGGGUAAAUGUCUUUUGGGUUUGACUGAGCAUGUAGUUGAAUACUUUGAGGAUCUCCUCAAGCUUCCUGGCACAACGAGGGUGUGGUGCCCACAAGGAGUGGGGCAAAAUAUUUGUUGAGAGGUGAAAAAGUCACAUUUUAAGUCAGAGUUGAAUUGAAAUAAUUUAUUUCCAGAAAAGGUUGUGCAACAAAAUAAGAAGUUGAUGUUUUUAGUGUUCUUAUUUUUGUUUGAAAUAUUUCUGUUAGGGCUGCACGGUGAAGCAGCUGGAAAGUGUUGGCCUCAUAGUUCUUAGGUCCCGGGUUCAAUCCCCGUCUGUGUGGAGUUUGCAUGUUCUCCCCAUGCCUGUGUGGAUUUUCUUUGGGCACUCCAGUUUCCUCCCACAUCCCAAAAACAUACAUUAAUUGGACACUCCAAUUUGCCCCUAGGUCUGAUUGUGAGUGGCUCUAUGUACCCUGCAAUUGGCUGGCAACAAGUUCAGUGUUUACUCCGCCUCCUGCCCGUUGACAGCUGGGACCCUUGUGAGGAUAAGCUUAGAAAAUGGAUGGAUAUUUCUAUUGGAAAAACAACGCAUGAUUUUAAUUUGAUAAUUUUCUUCUUGCAACAACAAUGGACAUGGACAUUUUCUUGAGCUCAGAUUGUAUGGAAGAAAAGGGUUCACGGUUUAGAUACAUAAUAUUCGAUGAACAGAUGAAAAAACCCAACAGGCCAAACAACAAUCAAGGGAGAGCUAUAAAAUGUGAUCAAUAUGGUUUCUCCACAGGCACAUGCUAGAUGAAUUGAAGUUACUCAAAUGCACAAGUGAAACAAAGAUUCAACAAUCUCAUAUAUUUUUUUUAAAAGAUGGAAAAAAAAAAUGAACAAUGUUGUUCCCGUUAAGCAAAUGUCAUGCAGCUAAACUGAUGGUUUUUUUUGUGUUUGAAUAAAUAUCCCAUUGGAAUGAUGCACACAUUGGGCAACUUUACUGUACUUGAGGUUUCUUUAGAUAAUGCUGCUGGCUUGACCAAAGCUGAUUUAGUUGAAAAUGGAGACACAUGAAAUCUCAUUAUUGCAGGAACAGAGAAACCACUUGUCAGUGGGUGCACAUUUAACAGUCAAGGAGGGAUUAAAGAUGAUAAA